GGGAAUGUAGCUUAAUGGUAGAGCGCUUGCCUAGCAUACAUGAAGCCCCAGGUUCAAUUCCUCAGUACCA
This 70-nucleotide transfer RNA is filed under the name Dipodomys ordii (Ord's kangaroo rat). It matches the Rfam family "tRNA". From Rfam's summary of the family: Transfer RNA (tRNA) molecules are approximately 80 nucleotides in length. Their secondary structure includes four short double-helical elements and three loops (D, anti-codon, and T loops). The record is from Rfam by way of RNAcentral. Lineage: Eukaryota; Metazoa; Chordata; Mammalia; Rodentia; Heteromyidae.